UGAGGAAUAUUGGGCAAUGGGGGCAACCCUGACCCAGCCAUGCCGCGUGAGUGAAGAAGGUUUUCGGAUUGUAAAGCUCUUUCGGAUGUGACGAUGAUGACGGUAGCAUCUAAAGAAGCCCCGGCAAACUUCGUGCCAGCAGCCGCGGUAAUACGAAGGGGGCGAGCGUUGUUCGGAAUUACUGGGCGUAAAGGGUGUGUAGGCGGUUAUGUAAGAUAGCGGUGAAAUGCCGGGGCUCAACCUCGGAAUUGCCUUUAUGACUAUAUAACUAGAAUAAUGGAGAGGAUAUCGGAAUACCCAGUGUAGAGGUGAAAUUCGUAGAUAUUGGGUAGAACACCAGUGGCGAAGGCGGGUAUCUGGCCAUUUAUUGACGCUGAGGCACGAAAGCAUGGGGAUCAAACAGGAUUAGAUACCCUGGUAGU
This 422-nucleotide ribosomal RNA is filed under the name uncultured Insolitispirillum sp. Its description in RNAcentral is "bacterial SSU rRNA". It matches the Rfam family "Bacterial small subunit ribosomal RNA", at positions 355 to 794 of the family's 1533-position model. The record is from RNAcentral. Lineage: Bacteria; Pseudomonadati; Pseudomonadota; Alphaproteobacteria; Rhodospirillales; Novispirillaceae.